AUUGAACGCUGGCGGCAGGCCUAACACAUGCAAGUCGAGCGGAUGAAGGGAGCUUGCUCCUGGAUUCAGCGGCGGACGGGUGAGUAAUGCCUAGGAAUCUGCCUGGUAGUGGGGGAUAACGUCCGGAAACGGGCGCUAAUACCGCAUACGUCCUGAGGGAGAAAGUGGGGGAUCUUCGGACCUCACGCUAUCAGAUGAGCCUAGGUCGGAUUAGCUAGUUGGUGGGGUAAAGGCCUACCAAGGCGACGAUCCGUAACUGGUCUGAGAGGAUGAUCAGUCACACUGGAACGUGGACACGGUCCAGACUCCUACGGGAGGCAGCAGUGGGGAAUAUUGGACAAUGGGCGAAAGCCUGAUCCAGCCAUGCCGCGUGUGUGAAGAAGGUCUUCGGAUUGUAAAGCACUUUAAGUUGGGAGGAAGGGCAGUAAGUUAAUACCUUGCUGUUUUGACGUUACCAACAGAAUAAGCACCGGCUAACUUCGUG
This 484-nucleotide ribosomal RNA is filed under the name uncultured bacterium. RNAcentral's name for it is "partial 16S ribosomal RNA". It matches the Rfam family "Bacterial small subunit ribosomal RNA", at positions 30 to 507 of the family's 1533-position model. The record is from RNAcentral.